GUGGCGGCGUGGCCGAGUGGUUUAGGGCGCUGGAUUUGAAAUCUGGAGGUCCCUGCUUCAAAUUCUUCACCCUGCCACU
RNAcentral lists this transfer RNA (79 nucleotides) under Desmophyllum pertusum. RNAcentral describes it as "tRNA-Ser". The record is from RNAcentral. Lineage: Eukaryota; Metazoa; Cnidaria; Anthozoa; Scleractinia; Caryophylliidae.